Molecule: ribosomal RNA, 441 nt
Filed under: uncultured bacterium
Lineage: Bacteria
Description: partial 16S ribosomal RNA
Rfam family: Bacterial small subunit ribosomal RNA
Source: RNAcentral
CCUACGGGGGGCAGCAGUGGGGGAUAUUGCACAAUGGGGGGAACCCUGAUGCAGCGACGCCGCGUGGGUGAAGGAGUGCUGCGGCAUGUAAAGCCCUAUCGGCAGGGAAGAAGAAAGACGGUACCUGACUAAGAAGCCCCGGCUAACUACGUGCCAGCAGCCGCGGUAAUACGGAGGGGGCGAGCGUUAUCCGGAUUCACGGGGUGUAAAGGGAGCGUAGACGGCCAUGCAAGCCAGGGGUGAAAGCCCGGGGCCCACCCCCGGGACUGCCCUUGGAACUGUGCGGCUAGAGUGCGGGAGGGGCAGGCGGAAUUCCUGGUGUAGCGGUGAAAUGCGUAGAUAUCAGGAGGAACACCGGCGGCGAAGGCGGCCUGCUGGACUGCGACUGACGUUGAGGCUCGAAAGCGUGGGGAGCGAACAGGAUUAGAUACCCGAGUAGUC